Long non-coding RNA from Olea europaea var. sylvestris, 603 nucleotides. RefSeq lists it as uncharacterized. The record is from RefSeq and is a predicted model, not a curated record. NCBI's taxonomy places the organism in Eukaryota, Viridiplantae, Streptophyta, Magnoliopsida, Lamiales, Oleaceae. The transcript is spliced from 3 exons.
UCUUCUUUAUAUAUGCUUUUGACCUUUUCUCAUACCUUUUGUAAUCUCUAUCUAAAACUAAAAAAUGAAGCUAGUUAUUUUCAAUCACAUGGAUUAUGUUCAUCAUUUGUCUACCUUAGCCAACAAUCUCGCUUGGCAAAAGUCACUACAAUCUCAAUGCAAAACUUGAGACAUGGGCAUGGGUAAAUCUAGCCUUGCCGCACGCUUUGUCAAGGGCCAAUUCCUUGAAUUACAAAUAAUGCGAUGGUGAAGUUCGAGAUCUUGGAGACAACCGGGAAAGAAAGGUACCAUAGCUUGGCUUCUAGAUACUAUCGAGGCGCUACAGCGGCAAUAUUUUAUUUAUGACAUUACUAGCACGGUAUCCAUAUAAUUUAAUUCGUUAGUGUAUGAAUUUACUUAAUUAAUCUACUGUGGAAGUUGUAUUGUAUAUUGUUGAAUUUAUAUUAGGGCAUGCUUUGUUUUUUAGGAGUUGUUCUUUACGUACAAUACUUAUAACUGAAUAGGUAUAUAGGUAGAUAUCUUAAAAACAUUUGUAAAUGUCAUAAAAAAAACAAAGCUUGUGGUAGCUUUUUCAUUUAUGAGGAUCACUGGAAUGGGAGCUAA